This 514-nucleotide ribosomal RNA is filed under the name Phoma sp. PKU F5. RNAcentral's name for it is "eukaryotic LSU rRNA". The stretch from base 142 to 295 matches the Rfam family "5.8S ribosomal RNA". Lineage: Eukaryota; Fungi; Ascomycota; Dothideomycetes; Pleosporales; Didymellaceae. The record is from RNAcentral.
AAAGGAGUUGUAGGCUUUGCCUGCUAUCUCUUACCCAUGUCUUUUGAGUACCUUCGUUUCCUCGGCGGGUUCGCCCGCCGAUUGGACAAAACUUAAACCCUUUGUAGUUGCAAUCAGCGUCUGAAACAACAUAAUAGUUACAACUUUCAACAACGGAUCUCUUGGUUCUGGCAUCGAUGAAGAACGCAGCGAAAUGCGAUAAGUAGUGUGAAUUGCAGAAUUCAGUGAAUCAUCGAAUCUUUGAACGCACAUUGCGCCCCUUGGUAUUCCAUGGGGCAUGCCUGUUCGAGCGUCAUUUGUACCUUCAAGCUCUGCUUGGUGUUGGGUGUUUGUCUCGCCUUUGCGUGUAGACUCGCCUCAAAACGAUUGGCAGCCGGCGUAAUGAUUUCGGAGCGCAGUACAUCUCGCGCCUUGCACUCAUAGCGACGACGUCCAAAAAGUACAUUUUUACACUCUUGACCUCGGAUCAGGUAGGGAUACCCGCUGAACUUAAGCAUAUCAAUAAGCGGAGGAA